UCUUUGUUAGUAUAUCGGUUAGUACACGCGCUUGUCAUGACAUGGAUACAUUCAUACGCGCGAAAGCUGGGUUCGAUUCCCAGACAGAGAG
Molecule: non-coding RNA, 91 nt
Organism: Hypholoma sublateritium FD-334 SS-4
Lineage: Eukaryota; Fungi; Basidiomycota; Agaricomycetes; Agaricales; Strophariaceae
Source: the annotation of a GenBank genome assembly